Molecule: ribosomal RNA, 310 nt
Filed under: Pycnococcus provasolii
Lineage: Eukaryota; Viridiplantae; Chlorophyta; Pseudoscourfieldiophyceae; Pseudoscourfieldiales; Pycnococcaceae
Description: partial Bacterial small subunit ribosomal RNA
Rfam family: Bacterial small subunit ribosomal RNA
Source: RNAcentral
CUCGUAGGCGGUUUGUCGCGUCGAAUGUGAAAACCCGGGGCUCAACUCCGGGCCUGCAUUCGAUACGGGCAGACUAGAGUUCGGUAGGGGAGACUGGAAUUCCUGGUGUAGCGGUGAAAUGCGCAGAUAUCAGGAGGAACACCGGUGGCGAAGGCGGGUCUCUGGGCCGAUACUGACGCUGAGGAGCGAAAGCGUGGGGAGCGAACAGGAUUAGAUACCCUGGUAGUCCACACCGUAAACGUUGGGCGCUAGGUGUGGGGUCCAUUCCACGGAUUCCGUGCCGCAGCUAACGCAUUAAGCGCCCCGCCUG